AGUAAUACAUAAGUAACCUGCCCUAGACAGGGGGAUAACUAUUGGAAACGAUAGCUAAGACCGCAUAGGUACGGACACUGCAUGGUGACCGUAUUAAAAGUGCCUCAAAGCACUGGUAGAGGAUGGACUUAUGGCGCAUUGCUGGUUGGCGGGGUAACGGCCCACCAAGGCGACGAUGCGUAGCCGACCUGAGAGGGUGACCGGCCACACUGGGACUGAGACACGGCCCAG
Molecule: ribosomal RNA, 231 nt
Filed under: uncultured bacterium
Lineage: Bacteria
Description: partial 16S ribosomal RNA
Rfam family: Bacterial small subunit ribosomal RNA
Source: RNAcentral